Molecule: ribosomal RNA, 285 nt
Filed under: Triticum aestivum (bread wheat)
Lineage: Eukaryota; Viridiplantae; Streptophyta; Magnoliopsida; Poales; Poaceae
Description: partial small subunit ribosomal RNA
Source: RNAcentral
AUGGCCAAAUAUUGGUGGAGCAGUAGCCUAGAUCGCCGGUCUUUACAUUGGUUAUCUUGGGACUCACUGGUUGCACCAAAAGUUAAAGGAGGGAUGGGAUUCAAGGACCUGCAGCUCUUUAACCUAGCACUGCUUGGCAAGCACGGGGGGCGCCUGAUGACGAAUCCCAACUCUCUGUGCUCGCGGGUCUUAAAAGGUAGAUACUUUCAUUCCUGCGAUUUCAUGCAAGCCACUGCACCUAAGUACUCAUCGGCCAUGCGGCGGGCGAUAAUCGCGGGCAGAGAA